UAUAUAUAUAUAUAUAGAGAGAGAGAGAAAUAAUAUGAGAGAGAAAGAAAAGAAUAUUAAUAUUUUUUCUCUGUCUGUUUCCUAGUCUCUGUUUUCUCUCUUUCUCUCUAUCUCUCUCUCUC
Molecule: non-coding RNA, 122 nt
Filed under: uncultured Mallomonas
Lineage: Eukaryota; Synurophyceae; Synurales; Mallomonadaceae
Source: RNAcentral